This 587-nucleotide ribosomal RNA is filed under the name uncultured Jaminaea. RNAcentral describes it as "LSU rRNA". It matches the Rfam family "Eukaryotic large subunit ribosomal RNA", at positions 81 to 655 of the family's 3401-position model. Lineage: Eukaryota; Fungi; Basidiomycota; Exobasidiomycetes; Microstromatales. The record is from RNAcentral.
UAGUACGGCGAGUGAAGCGGGAAGAGCUCAAAUUUGAAAGCUGGCGCUUUCGGUGUCCGCGUUGUAAUCUCGAGAAGUGUUUUCCGUGCUGGACCAUGUACAAGUUCCUUGGAAUAGGACGUCAUAGAGGGUGAAAAUCCCGUACUUGAUGUGGCCGCCCAGUGCUUUGUGAUACACUUUCCAUGAGUCGAGUUGUUUGGGAAUGCAGCUCAAAAUGGGUGGUAAAUUCCAUCUAAAGCUAUACAUUGGGGAGAGACCGAUAGCGAACAAGUACCGUGAGGGAAAGAUGAAAAGCACUUUGGAAAGAGAGUUAAAUAGUACGUGAAAUUGUCGAAAGGGAAGCGCUUGAAGUUAGACAUGCUAGUUGGAAUUCAGCCUUGCUUUUGCUUGGUGCAUUUUCCGGUUAGCAGGCCAGCAUCAGUUUUGCCUGUCGGAUAAGGGUAGGAGGAAUGUGGCCCCUCGGGGUGUUAUAGCCUCUUACUGGAUACGACGGGUGGGACUGAGGACAGCAGUGCGCCUUUAUUGGCGGGCCUUCGGGCACCUUCGCACUUAGGAUGCUGGCGUAAUGGCUUUAAGCGACCCGUCUU